RNAcentral lists this ribosomal RNA (253 nucleotides) under uncultured bacterium. RNAcentral describes it as "partial 16S ribosomal RNA". It matches the Rfam family "Bacterial small subunit ribosomal RNA", at positions 524 to 776 of the family's 1533-position model. The record is from RNAcentral.
UACAGAGGUGGCAAGCGUUGUUCGGAAUUACUGGGCGUAAAGCGUGUGCAGGCGGUUGUGUAAGUUUGUUGUGAAAUCCCCGGGCUCAACCUGGGAAUUGCGAUGAAGACUGCACGGCUAGAGUGUGUCAGAGGGGGGUAGAAUUCCACGUGUAGCGGUGAAAUGCGUAGAUAUGUGGAGGAACACCGAUGGCGAAGACAGCCCCCUGGGAUAACACUGACGCUCAUGCACGAAAGCGUGGGGAGCAAACAGG